Molecule: ribosomal RNA, 492 nt
Filed under: uncultured bacterium
Lineage: Bacteria
Description: partial 16S ribosomal RNA
Rfam family: Bacterial small subunit ribosomal RNA
Source: RNAcentral
AGUGAACGCUGGCGGUAGGCCUAACACAUGCAAGUCGAACGGCAGCACAGUAAGAGCUUGCUCUUACGGGUGGCGAGUGGCGGACGGGUGAGGAAUACAUCGGAAUCUACUUUUUCGUGGGGGAUAACGUAGGGAAACUUACGCUAAUACCGCAUACGACCUACGGGUGAAAGCAGGGGAUCUUCGGACCUUGCGCGAUUGAAUGAGCCGAUGUCGGAUUAGCUAGUUGGCGGGGUAAAGGCCCACCAAGGCGACGAUCCGUAGCUGGUCUGAGAGGAUGAUCAGCCACACUGGAACUGAGACACGGUCCAGACUCCUACGGGAGGCAGCAGUGGGGAAUAUUGGACAAUGGGCGCAAGCCUGAUCCAGCCAUACCGAGUGGGUGAAGAAGGCCUUCGGGUUGUAAAGCCCUUUUGUUGGGAAAGAAAAGCAGCAGGUUAAUACCCCGCUGUUCUGGCGGUACCCAAAGAAUAAGCACCGGCUAACUUCGUG